Molecule: ribosomal RNA, 419 nt
Filed under: uncultured bacterium
Lineage: Bacteria
Description: bacterial SSU rRNA
Rfam family: Bacterial small subunit ribosomal RNA
Source: RNAcentral
UGGGGAAUCUUGCGCAAUGGACGAAAGUCUGACGCAGCGACGCCGCGUGGGGAUGACGGGUUUCGGCUUGUAAACCCCUGUUGCCCGGGACUAAACGCUUCUUUCGAGGAGCUUGACGGUACCGGGUGAGGAAGCACCGGCUAACUCCGUGCCAGCAGCCGCGGUAAUACGGAGGGUGCGAGCGUUGUCCGGAAUCACUGGGCGUAAAGGGCGCGUAGGUGGCGGAGCAAGUCAACGGUGAAAGCUCGACGCUCAACGUCGAGUCGGCCGUCGAGACUGCUUUGCUUGAGCACUGUAGAGGCAGAUGGAAUUCCGGGUGUAGCGGUGGAAUGCGUAGAGAUCCGGAAGAACACCGGUGGCGAAGGCGGUCUGCUGGGCAGUUGCUGACACUGAGGCGCGACAGCGUGGGGAGCAAACAG